GAUGAACGCUGGCGGCGUGCCUAAUACAUGCAAGUCGAGCGAACAGAUGAGGAGCUUGCUCCUCUGACGUUAGCGGCGGACGGGUGAGUAACACGUGGAUAACCUACCUAUAAGACUGGGAUAACUUCGGGAAACCGGAGCUAAUACUGGAUAAUAUAUUGAACCGCAUGGUUCAAUAGUGAAAGACGGUUUUGCUGUCACUUAUAGAUGGAUCCGCGCCGCAUUAGCUAGUUGGUAAGGUAACGGCUUACCAAGGCAACGAUGCGUAGCCGACCUGAGAGGGUAAUCGGCCACACUGGAACUGAGACACGGUCCAGACUCCUACGGGAGGCAGCAGUAGGGAAUCUUCCGCAAUGGGCGAAAGCCUGACGGAGCAACGCCGCGUGAGUGAUGAAGGUCUUCGGAUCGUAAAACUCUGUUAUUAGGGAAGAACAAAUGUGUAAGUAACUAUGCACGUCUUGACGGUACCUAAUCAGAAAGCCACGGCUAACUACGUG
RNAcentral lists this ribosomal RNA (497 nucleotides) under uncultured bacterium. Its description in RNAcentral is "partial 16S ribosomal RNA". It matches the Rfam family "Bacterial small subunit ribosomal RNA", at positions 28 to 507 of the family's 1533-position model. The record is from RNAcentral.